AUUGAACGCUGGCGGCAUGCCUUACACAUGCAAGUCGAACGGCAGCACGGGAGCAAUCCUGGUGGCGAGUGGCGAACGGGUGAGUAAUAUAUCGGAACGUGCCCGGUCGUGGGGGAUAACGUAGCGAAAGCUACGCUAAUACCGCAUACGAUCUACGGAUGAAAGCGGGGGAUCGCAAGACCUCGCGCGAUUGGAGCGGCCGAUAUCAGAUUAGGUAGUUGGUGAGGUAAAGGCUCACCAAGCCGACGAUCUGUAGCUGGUCUGAGAGGACGACCAGCCACACUGGGACUGAGACACGGCCCAGACUCCUACGGGAGGCAGCAGUGGGGAAUUUUGGACAAUGGGCGCAAGCCUGAUCCAGCAAUGCCGCGUGCAGGAUGAAGGCCUCGGUUGUAACGUAG
This 401-nucleotide ribosomal RNA is filed under the name uncultured bacterium. Its description in RNAcentral is "bacterial SSU rRNA". It matches the Rfam family "Bacterial small subunit ribosomal RNA", at positions 30 to 432 of the family's 1533-position model. The record is from RNAcentral.